Molecule: RNA transcript, 5738 nt
Organism: Zalophus californianus (California sea lion)
Lineage: Eukaryota; Metazoa; Chordata; Mammalia; Carnivora; Otariidae
Gene name: protein numb homolog
Exons: 2
Source: RefSeq, a predicted model, not a curated record
AUGAUUGGACAACUCGGAAAAAUACUAAAAACCAUCGAAUUGUACACUUUAGAAAUAUGGCAAAGUAUUAGGAGAAAGAAAGACGUUUAGGUUCCAGAGGCCAGUCGUCCACAUCAGUGGCAGACAACAGAUGAAGGAGGGGUUCGUACUGGACAAUGUCGCUUCCCAGUGAAGGACGUGGCCUCGCAGAAGUUGAUGAGUCAAGAGGAAUGCACGUCGGUGAAGAUGCUGUUGAAAGAUUGAAAGCUGAAAGGCAGUUCUUCCAAGGCUUCUUUGGAAAAACUGGAAAGAAAACAGGGAAGGCAGUCCUGUGGGCAUCAGCAGGUGGACUCAGAGCUGUGGAUGAAAAAACCAAGGACCUCACAGUUGAGCAGACAAUAGAAACAGUUUCUUCCUGCGCCCCACAGAGGACCUUUGAUAGAGCCGUCUCUGACAUAAGUCGUGACGGCACCGCUGGGCACUGGAUCUGUCAUUGCUUCCUGGCUGUCAAGGACACGGGUGAAGGACUGAGCCACGCAGUCGGCUCUGCUUUUGCGGCCUGUUUAGGACGGAAGCAGAAGCAGGAGAAGGAAUAUGGAAUGACUGCUACUUUUGAUGCCAGUGACGAGGGAAGGGUCAUUCCGUGUCACAGCUGCCACCGAGCAAGCAGUAAGAGAGGAGAGUCUGAAGAUGCCAAGAUGCCAAGAAAGUGCCAGGAGUAGGAGGGGAAGCAGAGAGUAUCAGCUCCCUGUGCUCACAGACCCCUGGUGCCUUCAGCAUGCCCUCCCAGGGGCCCUUCUCAUCUGCCCUGAGGACCAAGCCAGUGACAGGGGUAGCUUCGCAAUCUCCUGACAUUCAAGCUAAUGACACUGGCUCAGCCUUCCAUGGUCCUGCUGCUAAGCCAGACCUCACUGCUCUCGCACCCGCAGCAAUGCCUAUGUGGGAAACCAACUCUCGUGCCCAGGCCCCCAAGGCUGUGAACAAGACAACGGCAGCCCCACAUUCGGGGACGGAGUGCGGUCGGUCUUCUGGCGCUGCAUCUCCAGGUCUCUCCCGGGCUGGUCGCAGAAACACUCCCGCCGAGGCUGACCGCCGGUUAGAAGAGGGGUCCGAGAGCCCUCAGCUGUCCUUCUGCAGCCAGUUGUCCAGCCUCCUCCACUCACUGCUAUUACCCUACCAGCGCGGCCUUUCCCAGGAAAUGCAUUGCUCACCUCUCAGCCCAAGCCAGUGGGCGUGGUCCCACCCCUGCAGCCAGCCUAUGACCCUGCCCCGUACCAUCCUGUGGCCACCAGGAUGCCCUACCCAGCCCUGAAUGUGCCUGUGGUGGGCAUCACUCCCUCCCAGACCGUAGCCAAUGUGUUUGGCACCGUAGGCCACCCUCAGGCCGCCCACCCCCCUCCGUCUCCCAGGCUGGUCAAGCGGCAGACAUUCCCUCAGUCUGAGACGAGCAGGGCUGCUUCCAUUCCCCCCUUGAAGCCGCCUGCUCAGCACCUCAACGGUUCUACUAGUGUUAGAUGAUGGCAGGUUGGCCUCAGGAGAUAAGCACACAGAGGUGCCUGCAGGCACCUGCCCCAUGGAUCUUUUGGAAGCUCAGUGGGCAGCAUUAGAAAGCCAAGUCCAGGGAGCAUACUAACCCCUUUCCCACCAACCCCUUCUCCAGUGACUUACAGAAUUCGUUUGAAAUUGAGCUUUAAGCAGUCUCUGUGGCUUCUGUUAUUUUGUCUGUACUUAGGCAAGGGCAGGGGCAGAGGCCAAAGGAGCAAAGGGAACUUUGUGUUUCCAAUCAGUAUACUUUUCACUAGUCCCAAAGGUCCCAAGGAGCAUGUCCAGGCAGAGAUCUGUGGGAGGUGAUUUUGAGAAAAAUGGGGAAAAAAAGCAUUCCUAGAGAAGAGCUGUUUUCCAGUUAGGCUAAAGAAGUCAAGGAAAUGUUGCCCUCUGUUCCCCUCUGACCCCCAUAGCCCCUUACAAAUCCCUGACAAUGGAGAGGCAGAAGUAUCUGAACAAGAAUCUGUAUUCAUAGCGUAUUUACUGGAAUAUAAAAGUGUGGGAAGCAAAAUGAUUUCCCUUGUUUUUUAAGCCAUUCACCUGCCAUCCUCAGUACUGGCCUGUCUUAGAGAUCAAGAACAUGGUGGCCUGUGCUUGGGGUGGGGACAAGAGGUAGGCUAUGCAGAAUUCCCAGGAGGGCACAUCAGCAGCUGCCUAGCAGAGCUACAUUUCAGGGGUAAAGUUGAGCUUCCACUUUAAGUAAGAAUAAAUAUUAUAAAUAUUUAUCAAAAAAGCCAAAAUCUUUAUUGUUUUUCCUGGUUUAAGUCCAAAUCUUUAUGUUUAUGCAUUAAGAAUAUUUUAAAUAUUUCUCAAUAUUAAAAAGUUGUAGGAGUUGUAAGUAAUCUUGCCAAAGGUGAAAGGGUUAGCUGUAAGGAAUUAUACAUAAGAUUGAUUUAUCAGUGAUGCCUACUGAAGUUGGGGGAAAGGCUGGGAAUUGCAGAUGGGAUCCCUAGCUUAUUUGGUAUCAUUCAUUUUAAGUAGCACAUUGCAGCAACUAAUCAUGCAUAUGACCAAUAGAGCCACAAGGUUGGAGUUUUAAAGAAAAUCUGGGGCGCCUGAUUGGUGAAGUUGGUUGAGCAGCGCCUCUUGGUUUCUGCUCAGGUCGUGGUCUCCUGGUGGUGAGAUGGAGCACUGUGAGGGGCUCCACGCUCAGCGUGUGGAGUCGGCUUGAGAUUCUUUCUCCCUCUGCCCCUCCCUCUCAUGCACUCUCUCUCUAAAAUAAAGAAAUCUUAAAAAAAAAAAAAAUCAAAGAGCAGUAUUGUCCUGGUUUUAAAACCUAUGAAAUUCUAAUGUUAUUUUAACAAAAUCAAUCUAAAUACACUCUACAGAGAAUAUGUAUUUUCUUUUAUAUACGCUACAGUUUCCUUCUGUUAAUCCGCUACUUUGUUUUGACACUAAGGUGACAAUGACAAUCAUAGCAAUAGACUGGAGCGCAGAUUACUGUUGGUUUGUCAUGUGAGUCUUGGUAGGUUUUGUUUUGCCCUUUAGGUUUUGUCCCCACAAGUUUUGUGGGGAUGGAGAUUCUAGUUUUAUUAGCUGUGUGUCCAUCCCCCGACUUGUGGAGAACAGAACAUCCUCUUGCCAGCUGCAGCCAUUGGACCUCUGGUAACAACUAGAGACCCCAUCUCAUCUUUACUUUUGAAUGUUGGUCUUACAAGCAAAUGUAAGUUAUAUAUAUUUAUACUGAUGGGAAUUUAUAAUCUGCUGUAACAAAAACAAAUAUUUGUGGUAGGAAAAAAAAGACAUGAACCAGUGUUAACUUUUUAAAUACCUUUUUUUGGUAACCAAAUGUUAUAAACUCCCCUAAAUCUUCAGUUGUGAUAAUCUACAAUUAUCAUUAGUACGUGAUUGUGAAAAUCGAUCAGGGAAGCACUAGCAAAAUGUUAGCUUCAUCUUUUCAAGGUUAGCAAUAAUUUGGAAACCGCAGGAAUCUCAUCCUUCAGUUUUGGACAAGAAUUUAUAUGGGUAGCUCCCAAUUAAUUCUUUUGGCUCACGGGUGGGAAAAAAAAAAGGGGGUUAUUGCAGGUAAUCUAUUUUGAUUUUCCCAAGUGAAGGGCAGUAAUUUGAGGACCCAAAAGACUUUUCUAAAUUUCACCACGGUGAGUAGUUAGUUCAUAAAGGAGCACAGCUUUACUUCUGUCAAGUAUUGACCUUUGCUGAUCACCCACACGAAACUGCGUCGUCAGCACAUCAGCGGUGUGGGGGGCCCAGGACGUGUGAUUCAGCGAGCAGCAAACGUCCAACAGUACCCGCUUCACAGUCUCCUAAGGCGGUGAACCUCAUAGGGGAUCAGCUCUGAGGUCCUGGCAGGUCCCAGCAGCAACUGACUCCUGACACCGUGGGGACGAAUUCGCGGGGCAGGUGCGGCCGCCGUCCUCCGAAGUCACAGCGGCCACGCUCGCUCCCGCGGCGUCUUUGACCUUCCCCAGAGCUUGCGGCCCGCCCCCCGUACCGGCGCACGUGGCGAGGUGGGGACGGAGCCACGCGGGGCCCGCGGAAGAGCCUCCCCGCAGCAGCGCGCUGCUGACACCCCAGGCACGGGAAGCCCCCAGUCGGCCUGUCGCUGCAAGACCCUGCGGUGGGUUAGAAAUCAAGCGCAGAGAGGUGACCCGGCGAUCUCCCCCCGGCCUUCCAACACACACUUUCCUUUCGCUCCCUCGCCCCGCCCCCGCCUUCGCCGACUCUCCGCCCGCCGGCUCCGCUCGCUCCGGGCCAGACCUAGCGGAGGGGCCGGCCAAGACCCCGACGGAGAGACUCCAUCCGGGUGCUUUGUCCGGGAGCCAGGAGGGCGUGGCCUCAUGACGACCGCGGGGGGAGGGGCGCGGAGCCAACUCAGGAGCUGGGACUUCCUGACGGAGGGGGCGGCGGGAGUACGGGUUGUCCCUUGCCACGCCCCAUGGAAGCGCCAUCCUGCACGAGAGGGGCGUCUCUAGCCUCAAACUCCCCUCUGAGGCGGGAGUAUCAGCUAAGAAGUCUAACGUCAAAGACUCCCCCUUUUCAGAGCCUUUUCAUGCCCUCUCCCCCUGCCCGUCUUUCCUCUCUGCUUGACCGGCACGAAACACUUUCCGCCUCCAGCCUCCCCUCCCCCUCGUUCGGCGCAGGUGGUGGCGGCCCGCGCGGUGCGCAGCCGCAGAGAGUUCUGGGCGGUGCCGCUGAGGGGCGUGUGACGCAGCGGCCGUCGCUGCCAUUUUAAGUUGUUUGUUCUCGCUUCCCUUCUCAAACGCGACUCUGCCCCGGACCCGGGAGGCGCCCGAGGCCGCCGCCGUUUCCGCAGCCAGCGGUUGGGGCAACGAGGCUGUGCCACCGCGGACGCUCACCCUCCGCUUCGGCUUUCCCCCUCCGGGUCUCCUCGACCUUCCUUGCUGAGAGCCGGAACCCGACCGUGGGGGGAAGAAAGACUCGAGAGCAGAUGCUUGAACUGAAAUAACUUUCUUUUGGGGGGUUUGCUUCGCUGACAGACCCCUUAGCGCAGGGCUCCCCUCCCCUUCCUCCCCUCCCCCUCCGCCGCCAGUACCAAUCCUACCCCUCUUUCUACCUCGUUUCUCCUCUUUCUCGUCUUCGCCGCCGCCUCCGCGUCCUUCCCUCCGCCGCCGCCCGGGGCGCCGAGCCAGACUAUGGGUCCCAGGUGGGGGCUGAGCGGCGGCAGCAGCGCGGGCGGCCCGGUCACAGUGCGCACUGCAGCGGGGAUGGAGGGGCUCAGUUGGCUGGUGGUUUUCUCUUGACAUGGCUCCUGCCCGUGCUGCGAGCAGCGCCCCCGCCGCCGCCGCCUCUUCUGCCGCCGCCACCGCUCCGCCCGCAGGCUGCGGCUAGAGGGCCCGAACCCCGCCCGAGAGUCGGUCAGUGAGUCCCGGUCUCCGCGGGGACAGGGAGGGGAUUUCCCCGCCACCCGCCCCCGCCCCAGCUGCCUCAGUUCCACCCCCUGCCCCCUCGGGAAGCAAACUAAUGACCCCACCCUAAACUAUCCAAACUCGGGAAACAUGGUCUGUUCAACGUGAGAGAGCGAGCUAAUCCGGGAACUUCAGGGUUUUUUCUUUGGGGGGGGGUGGGCUGGGCAUACUUUCAAAAAGUAAUUAAUAUUAACACAACUAUUUUCUUUUUUUCCCACUGAUCCUUCCCAUUUACCCUCUCCCGCCUACUCUACCCGGGCGGGAAUUGUUUCCACGAUGAAAUGAGUGAAAACCUGAGUGAUCCUGUGUCUCCCGUGGUGCGAGUGA